RNAcentral lists this ribosomal RNA (253 nucleotides) under uncultured bacterium. RNAcentral's name for it is "partial 16S ribosomal RNA". It matches the Rfam family "Bacterial small subunit ribosomal RNA", at positions 524 to 776 of the family's 1533-position model. The record is from RNAcentral.
UACGUAGGGUGCAAGCGUUGUCCGGAAUUAUUGGGCGUAAAGAGCUCGUAGGCGGUUUGUCGCGUCUGCUGUGAAAUCUGGAGGCUCAACCUCCAGCCUGCAGUGGGUACGGGCAGACUAGAGUGCGGUAGGGGAGAUUGGAACUCCUGGUGUAGCGGUGGAAUGCGCAGAUAUCAGGAAGAACACCGAUGGCGAAGGUAGAUCUCUGGGCCGUAACUGACGCUGAGGAGCGAAAGCAUGGGGAGCGAACAGG